This 390-nucleotide ribosomal RNA is filed under the name Amanita sp. 'A06'. RNAcentral's name for it is "partial large subunit ribosomal RNA". It matches the Rfam family "Eukaryotic large subunit ribosomal RNA", at positions 72 to 443 of the family's 3401-position model. The record is from RNAcentral. Lineage: Eukaryota; Fungi; Basidiomycota; Agaricomycetes; Agaricales; Amanitaceae.
GGAUUCCCUUAGUAACUGCGAGUGAAGUGGGAAAAGCUCAAAUUUAAAAUCUGGCAGUCUGAUUUUUUAUCUUUGGCUGUCCGAGUUGUAAUCUAGAGAAGUGCUACCUGUACUGGACCAUGUAUAAGUCUCCUGGGAUGGAGCAUCAUAGAGGGUGAGAAUCCCGUCUUUGACAUGGACUGCCGGUGUGUUGUGGUGUACUUUCAAAGAGUCGGGUUGUUUGGGAAUGCAGCUCUAAAUGGGUGGUAAACUCCAUCUAAAGCUAAAUAUUGGCGAGAGACCGAUAGCGAACAAGUACCGUGAGGGAAAGAUGAAAAGUACUUUGGAAAGAGAGUUAAACAGUAUGUGAAAUUGUUGAAAGGGAAACACUUGAUGUCAGUUGUGUUAGCC